RNAcentral lists this long non-coding RNA (702 nucleotides) under Mytilus galloprovincialis (Mediterranean mussel). Lineage: Eukaryota; Metazoa; Mollusca; Bivalvia; Mytilida; Mytilidae. The record is from RNAcentral.
GAAUGUUCAUAAUAUACAGUUAAGCGCUAAAAUUAUUCAUGUGUUAUCAAAAUUAAUAGAGAACAUUUUUUUGGGGGAAAAGGAGGAGCCGGGCUAGAAAAACAAUUUUCCUGUCCCAAAGUACCUAUGACUUUUGAUACCUUUUCUGAAAUUCUCCAGUCUUUAAAUCCUUUACAAAAAUUCAUUGAUUACAAAAAAAAAGGAUGUGGUAUGAUUGCCAAUGAGACAGCUCUCCAUAAGAGACCAAAAUGACACCGAAAUUAACAAUUAUAGGUCACCUUACGGCCUUCAACAAUGAGCAAAGUCAAUACCCAUAGUCAGAUAUAAAAGGCCACGAAAUGACAAUGUAAAACAAUUCAAAUGAGAAAACUAACGGCCUUAUGUGUGUACAAAAAACAAAUAUAUAACACAUAAACAAACGACAACCACAGAAUUACGGGCUCCUGCCUUGAAUGUUCAUAAUAUACUAAAUGUAUGUUCAUAAUGAAAUAAAUAGAAAACCAAAAAUUGGGAAUUUUGGAAAUAGGAGGAGGGAUACAAAAAACUUUUUCCUGUCCCCAAGUACCUAUGACUUUUGAUACUUUUCCUAAAAUUCUCAAGUCAUUAAAUAUUUUACAAAAUUCUUCCUACAACACUUUACAUACUUUCAACCACGCUCUGAAUGCCCGCGAUUUCGCGGGUGUGUUCUAGUAAAUUUAUUAA